Molecule: ribosomal RNA, 488 nt
Filed under: uncultured bacterium
Lineage: Bacteria
Description: bacterial SSU rRNA
Rfam family: Bacterial small subunit ribosomal RNA
Source: RNAcentral
CGAUUGAACGCUGGCGGAAUGCUUUACACAUGCAAGUCGAGCGGCAGCAUGGGUGCUUGCACCUGAUGGCGAGCGGCGAACGGGUGAGUAAUGCAUCGGAACGUACCCAGUCGUGGGGGAUAACUACUCGAAAGAGUGGCUAAUACCGCAUACGUCCUGAGGGAGAAAGUGGGGGACCGCAAGGCCUCACGCGAUUGGAGCGGCCGAUGUCUGAUUAGCUGGUUGGUGGGGUAAAGGCCUACCAAGGCGACGAUCAGUAGCUGGUUUGAGAGGACGACCAGCCACACUGGGACUGAGACACGGCCCAGACUCCUACGGGAGGCAGCAGUGGGGAAUUUUGGACAAUGGGCGCAAGCCUGAUCCAGCCAUUCCGCGUGAGUGAAGAAGGCCUUCGGGUUGUAAAGCUCUUUCGGCAGGGAAGAAACGGACUGGGAUAAUACCCUGGUUUAAUGACGGUACCUGAAGAAGAAGCACCGGCUAACUACGUG